UGGCGGGCGGGGAGCUCGAGCAAGCGAGGGCGGGCAGUAGUGGGAGGGCAGGGAGCGAUGCCUCCUUUAGUAAUUCUUGUAGCUUUGGUUUGGUUUUCGUAAAUUCUCUAAGCUUGUGUUUAUCUGUAAAUAUUUUAAUUUCACCUUCAUAUUUGAGAGAAAGUUUUGCUGGAUAUAUGAUUCUUGGCUGGCAGUUUUUCUCCUUUAGUGCUCUGUAUAUGUCAUCCCAUUGCCUUCUUGCCUGCAUGGUUUCUGCUGAGUAGUCUGAACUUCUUGAUUCUCCUUGGUAGGUGACUUUUCUUUUAUCCCUGUCUGCUUUUAAAAUUUUCUCUUUAUUUUUGGUUUUGGCAAGUCCGAUGAUAAUAUGCCUUGGUGAUUUUCUUUUUGGAUCAACUUUGUAUGGGGUUCGAUGAGCAUCUUGGAUAGAUAUCCUUUUGUCUUUCACGAUGCCAGGGAAGUUUUCUGCCAACAGAUCUUCAACUAUUCUUUCUGUAUUUUCUGUUAUCCCUCCCUGUUGUGGAACUCCAGUCACAUUUAAGUUACUCUUCUUGAUAGAGUCCCACAUGAUUCUUAGGGUUUCUUCAUUUUUUUCAUUUCUUUCAUGUGAUUUUCUUCAACUAUAUUGGUGUCAAUUGCCUUAUCUUCCAUCUCCCCCACUCUGCAUUCCGAUUCCUCGCUUCUGCUUCUCUGACUUCCUAUUGAGUUGUCUAAUUCUGUAAUUUUACUGUUAAUCUUUUGGACUUCUGAUGCUGUAUCUCUAUGGAUUCUUGUAGCUUAUUAGCUUUUCCACUAUGUUCUUGAAUAAUCGUUUUGAUUUCUUCAACUGCUUUAUCAAUGUGUUCCUUGGCUUUUUCUAUUAAAAAAAAAUUUGUUUUUUUUUCCUAUAGAUUGCCUUAUUUCAUUUCCGAGGUCAUCUCUGAUGUCUUGAAGCAUUCUGUAUAUUAGUUUUUUAUAUUCUGCAUCUGGCAAUUCCAGGAUUGUAUCUUCAUUUGGGGAAGAUUUUGAUUCUUUAAUUUGGGGAUUUGUAGAAGCAAUCAUCGUCUGCUUCUUUAUGUGAUUUGAUAUCGACUGCUGUCUCCAAGCCAUCUAGAAGAUAUUGUAACGAUUUAUUUUAUAUUUGCUCACUGAGUCUUAUUUUCUUGUUUUGUUUUGUUUCAAUAUACCCAGAUUGCGCUGUCUUGAUCAUUGUAGCCUUUGAAUCAUUUCUGUCCUAUUACCAGCUGGUUUGAGCUGUUACCAGAUAUAUAAGCCUAAGAGUCCAUUCACUAUUCUUGAAUAGAAUCAGCUUAAGUGUUCUCAUUUUGGGUCACCAAGUAUGUGGUGUAGACUGUCAUCUAUUAACUUAGAGAAGUAGUGGUGAUAGUUGUGUGCACCAGAUUCUCGUAGCGGCAGGGGGCACACUCCAAGGAGGGCAGGAUGCUGAUAGCAUUCCCCCAUGUGCCAGUGAGGUAGGAGUGUCUCCAUUCCUAGAGCAUUUUUGUGGGUGGGCUCUGCAGCUGUACCUUAGGUACCCAAUGCUUGUAACUCUAAGGAUUGGUAGGCGUCACUAUUCUCACACCCCUUUAGCAGGUGGCUAGGUGGUUUGGGUGGAGCUUCAGCCCUCAGUUCCCCUGUGUGGGUCAGUGAGGGCUCUGUUUAAUAGGUAGAGAGGCAUCAGACCUUGAAAAUUUGUCUUUCCACUUCUCUGCUGCAACAAUUACAGUCAGCUCUCUAUCAGAAUUGCCUUUGCAUUAUAAUAGCCACCUUGUUCCCUGUAGAGAUGAAAGCCAAGGACUGUGGAUCUCAUAUUCUUGGCUGGACCUGGUUCUGUAUUUUUAUUCCAGUUUAGGGAAAUCAGGGAAGAAUUUUUUCCCCCUGGUUGUUAGUUGCUGCUUCUCUCAGGCCAGGAGAAAGGGUUAGGGAAAAGAAAAAAAAAACCCUCAGAGCACUUCACUCUCUGGCCCAGGAAAUGCCAAUGUUAAUGAAGCCAGCUGGGGCAGGGAGGGGAGGGAUCAGAUAGAUAGGAGAGAGUAGCCAUGGGAAAUAUAGACAAAGUUACUUAUCUUGCUUGGUGAUGACUGUUUUAUCUGAGAUUCCAGAGGGGCCUGUAGCGUGUGUGCGCUGGCUGGGUCGAGUUUGCCCCCGACGGUCAGACCUGUGUCCCGUGCUUGCACCAUCUCAGGAAGCUGUGCUCAGCUCCUCUGCGCUUAGUCCAAAGCCCAGCGUCAAGGUUUUCUGACUGGGACAGUGGCUCCAGGCUCCGAAAACAAUCGCUGCUUCUCCGUGGUUGCUAGUUCUCUUGUCAGCAGCGUCCGUGUGCAGCCUGCGCUGGCUGAGCCUCUACCAAGGUUACUCCAGAGGUUUAGGGGUUAGGGCUGUGUCCCAUGCUUGCCCCAUCUCAGUAAGCUGCAAUCAUCCCCACCACUCUGGUACCAGGGAACCAUGAGGGCUCAAGGCUAUGGUGCAGGAUGCCGGUUCCAGAAACGGCCGCUGCUUCAGGGCACAGUUUUCGCUUCCCUGUCACACAGGUCAACUCUUUAGUUCUGUGUUUGAUGGUCCGGCUUUGUACAUUGUCAUGUAUAUGAUCAAUUCACUUGUUUUUCCAAGUCUUUGUUGCAAGAGGGAUGCACGGUAGUUCUACCAAGUCAGCCAUCUUGGCCCCGCCUCCUCCUUUUCUAAUAUUUUUUAUUUGCUUUCUUCUGGUGGCUGAGGAUUUCUUUUGUUGCUCUCUUUCUAUUUGUUCAAGUUGUAGGGAUAAUUCUUUGAUUUUGGCCCUUUCUUCUUUUUGGAUAUGUGCAUUUAUUGAUAUGAAUAAAUGAGCACUGCUUUCGCUGUGUCCCAAAGAUUCUGAUAAGAAGUGUUUUCAUUCUCAUUGUAUUCUAUGAAUUUCUUUAUUCCAUCCUUAAUGUCUUGUAUAACCCAGUCCUUUUUGAGCAGAGUAUUGUUCAGUUUCCAAGUGUUUGAUUUCUUUUCCCUGCUUUUUCUGUUAUCGAUUUCUAUUUUUAUGGCCUUAUGGUUAGAGAAGAUGCUUUGUAAUAUGUCAAUGUUUUGGAUUCUUCUAAGGCUUGCUUUAUGACCUAAUAUGUGGUCUAUUCUAGAGAACGUUCCAUGUGCACUAGAAAUAAAGUAUAAAUGGCUGGUAUUGGGUGGCAUUUUGAUCUUCCAUGUCUUUAUUAAGCUUCUUUCUGGAUGUCCUGUCCUUCACCGAAACUGGUGUGUAGAAGUCUCCGACUAUUACUGUGGAGCUGUCUGUCUCACAGUUCAAUGCUGUUGGAAUUUGUUUUAUGUAUCUUGCAGCCCUCUCUUUGAGUGCAUAAAUAUUUAAUAUGGUUAUAUCUUCUUUGUAUAUUGUCCCUUUAAUGAUUAUAUAGUGUCCUUCUCUUUCUUUGAUGAUGGAUUUAACUUUAUAGUCUCUUUCGUCAGAAAUUAAUAUUGCCACUCUCGCUCUUCUUUGACUGUUGUUUGCUUGAUAUAUUUUUUUCUAUACUUUGCGUUUUAGUUUGUGUCUCUAAGUCUAAGGUGUGUCUCUUGUAGGCAGCAUAUAGACGGAUCAUGUUUUUUAAUCCAUUCUGCCGCUCUUUAUUGGUGCAUUUAGCCCAUUUACAUUCAGCGUAAUUAUGGAUAGGUAAGAAUUUAGUGGUAUCGUUUUGAUGUGUUUUUUUGUGUAUUGUUGACAGUUUGUUUUUCCCACUUAAUUUUAUGUGCUGAGUAGAUUAUCUUUAUAUAUUCUCCUUUCCUCAUAUUUGUUGUUGUUCAUUUUGUUUCUGCUGGGUCUCUAUUUUUUCUUGCAUUUUAUUUUGAUGUGUAGGAUAAUUUGUCUACUUUGUGCUCACGUUACUAUUUACUCCUAUUUUUCUAAAUGUUAAAAAAAAAUGUUAACUUACCUUUUAUUUCUUGUAUCACCUUGUCUUCCAUUCCAUAUGGAAGAUAUAUGACUACAUUUCUUUGUCCCUCUUUAGUGUUUUAAUGUAUUCUUCUUUUACAUAAUAUCAUUGGUGUUGCCCUGUUUUGAGUGUUUUUAUAAUCUUGAUUUAUUUUUGUGGUUCCCCUGUCUGGGUUGACUUCUGAUUGUUCUGCCCAGUGUUCUAGUCUUGGGUUGAUACCUGAUAUUAUUCCUUUUCUUAUCAAAGAACUCCCUGUAGUAUUUCUUGUAGUUUUGAUUGGGUUUUUAUGAAAUCCCAAAACUUCUGUUUAUCUGGAACUGUCCUAGUUUCACCUUCAUGUUUGAGAGACAGUUUGGUGGAUAUAUGAUUAUUGGCUGGCAAUUUUUUUCCUUCAUUUUUUUAUAUAAGUCAUCCCACUGCCUUCUUGCCUGCAUGGUUUCUGCCGAGUAGUCAGAGUUUAUUCCUAUUGGCUCUCCUUUGUAGGUGACUUUGCGUUUAUCCCUAGCUGCUCUUAAAAUUCUCUCUUUGUCUUUGGUUUUUGCAAGUUACAUUAUACAAUGUCUUGGUGACUUUUCUUUUAAAGUCUACCUUAUGUGGAGUUCAAUGAGCAUCUUGGAUAGAUACCUUCUUAUCUUUCAUGCUAUCAGGGAAGUUUUCUGCCCACAAGUCUUCAACAAUUCUUUCUGUAUUUUCUGUUAGCCCUCCCUGUCCUGGCACUCCAAUCACUUCUAGGUUAUCGCUCUUGAUAGGGUCCCACAUGAUUCUUAAAGUUUCUUCAUUUUUUUAAAAAUUCUUUUAUCUGAUUUUUCUUCAGAUAUGUUGGUGCCAAGUGCUUUAUCUUCAAGAUCAGAAAUUCUGCCUUCCGCUUGCUCAAUUCUGCUCCUCUGACUUUGUAUUGAGUUGUCUACUUGUGUAAUUUUAUUGUUAAUCUUCUGAAUUUCUGAUUGCUGUCUGUCUAUGUAUUUUUCCAGCUUAUUAAAUUUUUCAUUAUGUUCCUGAAUCAUCUUUUUAAUUUCUUUAACUGCUUCCUCUGUGUGUCCCUUGGCUUGUUCUGCAUACUGCCUGGUUUCCUUCCUGAUGUCUUGUAGGGUUCUGUAUAUUAAUCUUUUGCAUUCUGCCUCUGUUAAUUCCAGGAAGGCACUUUCUUCUAAAAGAUCCCUUGAUUCUUUGUUUUGAGAGCCUUUUGAGGUGACCAUGGUCUGUUUCUUUAUGUGACUUGAUAUUGACUGUUGUCUCUGAGCCAUCUGUAAGUUAUUGUAUUAGUUUAUUUUAUGUUUGUCUAUUGUGUCAUUGCGUCUUGCUUUGUUUUGUUUUGAUAUGCCCAAAUGGGUUGCUUGAGCGAGCUAGCUUGACUGUUUUUGUCUUUGGAACUCUGAUGUCCUGUCCCCAGAUGGCUAGAGCUGUUAUCAGGUAUAUCAGUCUAGGAGUCCAUUCACUUUUAUUGUAUGAAUGCAACUCAGGUGUCCAGGUAGAUGAUCAUCAAGUGCGUGGUACAGACACAGUUCUACAGUCUUUGAGGGGCAGGGGUGAUGGGUGUCGGCAUCGGUAUCUGGUUACAGCAGGAGUUCAUGCUCUGAACAAAGCAGAUGCCUGAGAAUUAUCCCCCAAGUGUGUCUGAGGAAAGCGUGUCCCUGUUCCCUAUAGCAUACAGGUAGGUGAGUUCUGCAGAUGGACAAUGGGCACCCAAUGUUUUUGGUUGUAAUAACUGAGAGGUACGAGUUAUCCUUGGACCCUUGUCGUGGGUGGCUGGGUGACGUGAGUGGAGCCACCAGUCCUUAGGCCCCUGAUGUGGGUAGGUGAGGACCUUGUUUGAUAGGCAAAGCAAUGUCAAACAUCAAUUACCGCCCCCCACCACUGCACAGCUGAAAUCGUUGUAGUCUGCCAAGAAGAGCCUAUUCUCCUGAAAUAGGCCCAUAUAGGUCCAUUCACAGGGGAAAGGUACUCAAAGUCCAUUGACUGUUUAUGCCUAGAAAGGAGCCGCUUCUGUCCUGAGUUAACCCGGUUAGUGGAGCUGGUAAAUUAUCUUUCCCCCAGUUGCAAAUUUAUUCCUUUUCCAAGGCCAGGAAAUUGACUCUAGGUGCUGAACAGGGCUUAUCUCAGGCCCAGGGAAAUCAGCCACUGAAGCCAGCUUGGUGGGUGUGGAUGGUAAAACAUAUGCAAGUACUUUGCUUUUGCUGAGAGUGCUGUUCUCUGGUUCUGGAGGUGUGUGUAGGCCGUGUGGCUGGCUGCUUCUCCAUGGGGAAAUUGCAGCUGAAAGCUUGUACCAGCCCAUGGCAGCCACUCCCAGGAAUGGUGCCUGAGGGCUCCUGGUAAUUCAGGUUUGGUAACUCCUGUGUGCUUCUGAACCGUCUCUUCCUCCACCUACCCCUCAGUUCAUUUUCUAACCUUGACUUUGAUGUUCGGGCUGCUAGCUUGUCAUAAAUAUACUCAUUUCACUUUUUCGGGGGGAUCUUUGUUGUAAGAGGGUUCGCCAGAACUGCCACAACCAUCUGUCUAUUCUACCAUCUUGACCUUGCCCCCCAAGUUUCUUUUUUGUGUCUUUCAUUUCCUACAUUCUCUUUGGCUGUAGAUAAGUAGAGACCAAUAGUUGUAUCUUAGAAAGCCAUUAUCAAGUUUUUAAAACCCCAGACACUACUCAGCAAACUCGGACGUGAAGUAUAACUUUAGGAACUCUAUUACGCCCGUGUACCCAGAUGUUCUACUAAACUCUCGUCCUAAUACUUCAAAUCCGGAAAACCAAUCCCAUGAGAUGUUUGGUUAUGUAUAAGAAAUGUUCAUAAGGCUGCCCUGUAUAUGAUUUAUUAUAUAUAUAUGACUGUGUGUGCAUACAUUCCCGUAGAUGUAUAUGCAUAAACAUAUUCAUGUAUAUAUACACUUAUGUGUACUUAUACAUAUAAAUGCCUACCUGAAUACAUAUAUAAUAUCUGUUAUAUAAACCCAGUGCCGUCAAGUCGAUUCCGACUCAUAGCAACCCUAUAGGACAGAGCAGAACUGCCCAAUUAAUACCAACAUGCAUAUCAAUACCAACAUGAGAUACCAUUUCACUCCCACUGUGAUGGCUACAAGAAAAAAGUCAAAAACAAAAAACCGGGAAAAUAACAAGUGUUGGAGAGGAUUUGCAAAAAUUGGAACCCUCACCCGCUGCUGGUGAAAAUUCAAAAUGAUAUAGCCAUUUUCAAAACAGUCUGGUGGUUCCUCAAAAAACUGCUGGCAGAGCUGCCAUAUAACCCAGAAAUUCUAUUCCAGGUAUUUGCCAUAUGGAUCUGAUAGAAGUGACGGGAACAGACAUAUGCACACCUAUUUUCACCGCAGCAUUAUUCACAAUAGCAAAAAGAUGGAAACAACUUAACUGCCCAUCAAUGGAUGAAUGGAUAAGUAAAAUGUGGUACAUACAUACAAUGAAAUACUCGUCAGCAAUACAGAAAUAUGAGUUCCCUAAACUCCUUGGAACAUGGAAGAACCUGGAGGACAUUAUCUUGAGCGAAAUAAGUCUGUCACAAUAAAAGAAAUAUUCUAUGUUAUCACAUUUAUGAAAUGGUAUGAACUAAUAAAAAUAUGGAGAAAAUAAUGUGUUUACCAGAGUUGGGGUGGAGUGAAACAGAAAUUCACUCUCUAGAAAUUACACACCGGUUACUCUUGGUGAUGGGAAAGGUAACACCAAAUGAGAGUGAAGUGCACACAGCUUGACAGUGGCAAACCAUGUGAGUAAAAUGUACACAAGGAAAAAGAAUUUGUUGGUAAUAGCAUGUAACGUAUAAUUUUAAAACACAAGCAAAAACGACCAAAAAUAUAUAUGCGGGUAUAUAUAUAUAUAUAUAUAUAUAAAAUAGAUUGGAAACCCUGGUGGUGUAGUGGUUAAGUGCAAUGGGUGCUAACCAAAGGGUCGCCUAAUAACGUUGAGCAUCUCUUCACGUGUCUGUUGGCCAUGUGAAUAUUCUCAUUGGUAAAAUAUCUGUUCAUGUUCUUUGCCACUUCUUAAUAUGAUUGUCUUUUGGUUAUGAAGUUGUAGAAGUUUUAUAUAUUUUAGAUAUUAGACUCUAAUCACUUAUAUAAUUGCCAAAGAAUUUUUCCCAGUCCGUAGGCUGUGUCUUCCCUAUUUUUACUGAGUGUUUUGAUGAGCAUAAGUAUUUAACUCUUAUGAGGUCCGAGUUAUCUAUUUUGUUUUCUGAUGCUUGUGCAUUCAUUAUUGUGUUUGAUUAUCUAUCAUUUGAAAACCAAUCAUGUCCAAAAGGUUUGCUUCUCUAUUUUUUUCAUAGAACUGCAUGAUUCUGAAUUUAAAUUUAGCUCCUUGAUCCGUAUUGAUUCAGUUUUUGUGUAUGGUGUGGGGUAUGGAUCUUGUUUCAUUUUUCUGUUUGUGGAAAUCCAGUUUAGCCUGCACCAUUUAUUGAAGAGACUAUUCUUUAGCCAAUGAAUAGAUUUGGCUCCCUUAUUGAAAACCAAUUGACCAUAGAUGUUUGGAUUUAUUGCUGGAUUUUCAAUUCUGUUCCAUUGGCCUGUGUGUCUAUGUUUAAACAAGUACUAGGCUGUUUUGAUUUACUGUAGCUGUGUAAUCUGUUUUGAAGUAUGAGGCCUGCUAAUUUGUUAUUUUUCAAAUUGCUUUGACUAUUUCAGUUCUCUCAUCUUCCCAUAGAAAAAGGAGGAUUCUUUUUCCAUUUUUGUAAUGAAUACUAUAGGAAUUUUGAUUAGGAUUGUGUUCUAUCUGUAGGUCACUUUGUGUAUUAUUGACAUCUUGACUAUAUUAAGUCUUCCAAUCCAAGAGCACAGAAUUUCUUUCCAUCUAUUUAGGUCUUCUUUAAGAUCUUUCAGCAGUGUUUUAUACUUUUCCUUGUAUAAGGCUUUUGUAUCAAUGGGUACAUUUAUUCCUAUAUGUUUUAUUUUCUUAAACGGUAUUGUAAAACAACUUGUUUUCCUUCCAUAAAUAUUUAUUUUGGAAUAAAAAUUUCAUAAAUUUUUAUUCGAUUUCAUAAAUUCUAAGGGUGCAGCUUAAGCCAUUCCACCUGGGUGGAGCAAGAACCUAGGAAAAGCAAGAAGCUCCUUUCUGUGACCUGGUUCUCAACUGUCCUGUUCAAGGGAACAAGUAAAUUUCAGACAAAACAUUGGUACCUCAACAUUUCUUGUGAAAUGUCUAUAUAUUAAAUAAAUGCAUCAAGAAAAACUGUAUGACAGUAAAUAUAGUAGGGAAAACUUUUGGAACGGCAUCAGGAGAAAGUAUGUCUUCCAGCAUUUCCACAUCUAAAUUUCUUUGGUUGUGCAGUUCUGUAACGGAACUUUCAAAGUGAAUAGGAAAAAGAAACAGUAUUUUUUGAAAGCCUAUUCAGAAGAAGAAAUGAAUGUGGUCCAAAGGUUAUCUAAAUGUGGAAGAGCACUCUUCUCAGUUCCAGGAUACUGUAUUUUAAGUGGAGCCCUGGUUUCAAAGUGAUUAAGAGCCCCGCUGCUAACCGAAAGGUGGCAGUUUAAAUCCACCAACCACUCCUUGGAAACCCUAUGGGUAUGUUCUACUCUGACUGAUAGGGUCGCUGUGAGUCAGAAUCCACUCGAUAUCAAAGGGUAAGCUUAGGGAAGGAGCCCUGACCGUGCGAGGUUAAGCGCUGGGUUGCUAAGCAAAUACCCAGCAAAUAAGGCUCUGGCUGCAGAGGAGAAACAGCAGGGAAUCUGCCCCCAUAAAGAUUAUAGCCUAGGAACCACUAUGGGGCAGUUCUACUGUAUCAUAUAGGGUCUCCAUGAGGGGACAUUGACUCCAUGGCACAAAAAGAAUAACCACAAUUUUUAGAAAUCAUGAGUGGUGGCUUCAGACACGCUCUUGUGGCAGAAGGGUUGAUGUGGAGGUUCUGGGUGAGGAAGUGUCACCUGCUUUCCCAGAAGCCUCAGAAUUCACCCCAGAUGCUUUGUUUUCUUCUCCUGCAGUGCUCUUCAUAAACCCAUUACAGUAGAGUCGAUUCUGACCCCUAAUGAUCCUGUAGGACACAGUAGAACUGGCCCAUAGGACUUGCAAGGAGCGCAUGGUAGAUUCGAACAACUGGCCUUUUGGUUAGCAGGCAGCAGCUCUUAACCACUCUGCAACGAUGGCCCAGGGGACCCCAUUCCCGCCCUGCUUUAGGAGCUCACACAUGUGUACAGCCUCCUGGAACAGGGCCCUGGGACGCACGAACCGCCGCCCUCUAAGGGCUUCAGGCUUUAGUGGCGGAAGGUCCCCUUCAGGGAGGCGCGCAGCAGGAGCAGGGAAGGCAGGGCCCCUAAGGGUAGGUCUCGCAGCUGGGCUGGGCUCGGCUGUGCCAGGGUGAGGCCUCACACCCUGUGCACAGAGCGCACCGCUUUUCUGCUUUCUCAUAGUUCAGUUCCAUUACUAAGGAAGGUAAUGGACACACAAACUCACCCUUAGUAAUGUUGCUGCUAUACUUUCCCCUCCUAUAUGGUCUUGGGUUAUUUGCAGGCGUUGGUUUUGUAUUGGGAGAUCCCCUUUCAUGGUGUAGAAUUCAGUGCCCUCGGGUGGAUAGCAGCUUGUCCUGUGCUGGCAGUAUUUAUACCACGGGAAAUGGCAAAGGCUGCAUCUCAGGACUGCAGUGAUUGUUUUCCUAAUUGGUGGACAGAAAAUGAGGGGGGAAAUUUCAAUAAUGCCUCUUUAAACUGACAAGUGUGUCAAGUCAUUAUCUGUUGCGUUCUGAAGAAUACCUAAUUUUGAACAAUCUUUAAGGAGUUGAAAAGCACUCUCUGUUUAAGCACAGAAAGAGCUCGUGUCAAGGAAAAUUCAGUCAAGUUCCAGUGUAUGACCUCGUUUCUCUUAGGUUUUCCUUGUUAACAUAAGAAACAUAUGAACCAACAUUCAUGUUCAAAUGACACUGAUUUCCUCAGGAAGUGAGUGAUUUUGCUGAAUUGACUAAAAAUCAAGCAUUUGUUUGCAGUGUCCUGCAUGGAAUCAGGAUUGACUUGCAAGCAUGGUGGGUUAAGGAUGCAGCAGGUUUGCCAAGAUCUACAAAAGCCUCCUGCUGAUGAUGUGUGUAUAAAAGAUUUCCAGCCACGAGUACUGCAAGUUCGACUGAAAUCAGUAAAUUGUGUGCCACUCCUCCAUGGGUAUCUGGGACAUUUUGUUUUUCUUAUAAUUCUGCAGAAGGGUGGUGUGGGUGUGUAAUCCUUUGCCAGCACACAACUGUGUGUGCAUUUGAGGCUGUAAGUUACUGUAUUUGUGUUUCCAUCCUGGAGGAGUGGAGUGAGUGUCAGUGGGUGCAUUUGGAAUGUGAGGCACGUGUGUAUAUUAAGAGGCUGUCGGGGGUCAGUGUUUGUACUUGAGGAGAUGAGAGAGUUUUGUGCUUGCUUUUUGCGGGUGGAUACUUGUGGGGUGUUGUGUAUAUCUUGAAAUAGGACAGAGAUGUAGUUGUGAGCUUUGUAGGGAUUGUGAGAAUUGAGGGGUGUGGGUACUUUAGUGCCUGUUAUUUGGGACUCUGUUGGCCAUGUGUUUCUGUGAAUUCACAGUUUGGGGCUUGUGUAUGUGUGAAUGGGUUCUUAGGAAAGUGAUAUUUGUAUGUGUGGGUUGGCGGUGUCUGUUUGAAUAUUUGUGGUUCAGUUUUUUUUUUUAUGAGUGUGUUUUGUGGAAAUGUGCAGGGCAUGAGAUACAGGCGUGUGCACUCAGAGACUUGGAGGUGAGCUCUUUACAAUUUGUGGCUCAAGGGAAUACUUAGGGUGUGGCCCCCCUGCUGUGAACUUUGGGUCAUCCUGUGUACCUAAUAGCAGGUUUGAAAUGGGUUUCUCUACUGUACAUUUGGGCAUCUGAGGGAGUGUGCCUGUGUGUAUUAGUUUGGGUGUAGGGCCUGUUCUUUUUGUAUAUUUGGGGACUGAGAGAGGAUCGCUGGUGUGUAGUCAGGGCAUGUUGUACAGUUGUGUUGCUUUGGGUGCUUUUCUGGUGUUGCACAUGCAUUCUUGCAUGUUCGGUCUGGGGUUUGUGUGAUUCUGUACACUAGAAAAAUUGGAAUUGAUUUCUGUUUGAGUAUUUUGGAUUGUUCGAGUGUAUGUAGGCAGGCAUCGUGAGGUUUUAUUAGUAUUGGAAGAUCCAGGGUCGUUGUUGCAUACUUUCAGUACCCUGGAUAAUUUAGGUUAGAUUUAGGGUGUGAGGCCAGUUGUAUGGGUAAAGAACUUGUGUGUUUCAUGAAGGGGCUUGGCUGUUUGGAUGAAUAUUUUCCAGGGCUGUGUGUAAUCUUUUUCAGUGGAGAGUAUGGUGUAUUCUGGAAAAUGAGGACAGUGUGUCUGAUGAAAAUAUGGGGCAGUGUGUUUGCACAGGGUGUGGAAGACUUGUGUUUACAUGUAGUAGAGGCAUGUUGAUAUGGUUAUGUAUGAGAUAUUGAGAAUGUGGCAGCUUUGGAACGUGAGAUACGGACCUGGAACGGGGUUCCAGUGUAUUUGUUCAGGAUGUGCAAGAGAUAUUUCGUUGUGAAUGGGGAGUAUAUAUUGGUGUGUGUAAGUCACGAGUGGGUGGGUGAAUUAUUCUUGGAGAAUUCUACAAGUGUUUCUUUGGAGAAUGUUAGGGUGUUUCUAGGUGUGUUUGGGCAUGUUCGGAGGUUGGGGAAGUGAGGCUGUAUUCUAGAGACGUGUGAUAAUCUAUAGUGUUUUGGGUGAUAUAUACUUUGAGAAAUUGAGGCUAUUUGUGUGUGUGCAUGUGUCUGCGUGUGUUGUGUCUGGCAUGUGUGAGCCCGUGGCCACUUAGGGGUGUGGGCUGUGUGUGUAUAUUAGCUAGAGUGCAAGGAUUGUUGGUGUUUUGGAGUUUUAUCUGCAUCCUUGAAUGUGUGGGGUGUAUGAACAUGGUUGGGUUUUGGGUGAGUGUGUGGGGGAUUUGUGUCUGUAUGAAAGCAGUUGACGUUCCUCUUUGUGCCUAUUCUGGUCUAAUUCUUGCGGAAUUUGGUGGUGUAGCUUGUGUAUGUAUUUUCAGUGUACCUGUGGUGUACUUACAUAUGUUAAUGCUAAAGGUCGUAUGCAGUUGUGAGUUUAUUUGGUGUCACUAGUUUUCGGGGCUGUUUAUUCUGGAGGAUGUGGGAGGUUCAGGAUGUACCUUUGGAAACUGAGAGAGUUUAUAUAAAUUGUGCCUGCAUUUUGGAAUUGUGUAUUAUUAGUGUUUAGAGAUGUGGGCUUUGGUGUGUGUCUGUAUUAGCGUGGCCUGUGAAGUGAGAUUUUGUGCUCGGUGGUGUUAGAGAGCUAGGCUGUGUGUACAAUGUUCAGUGAGUAUAUAGGUACUGUUUGUUGUACAUGGGUGUGUUCAGGCACGUGUGGAGAGUAUAUACAUCAUCGUAGUGAUGACUGUGUGUGUUCAUGGUUCGUAGGGUUUUUGUUGUAAAACUAUAAGCAGCAAGAUGUGGUAUGUUUGUAUAUUUAGGCUGUGGGUCGUAGUUGUGUGUGUUUAGGAGUUUCGAGCUGUGUGUUCUGGAGAUAUAUAGUGACGUUUGGUUUACAUAUUAUGGGUGGGAGUUAAAGGUCCCUCUCAUGGUGCAGGUGGAUUAUGUAUACAUACUAAUAGGAAAGUGGAUCAGGUAUGCUGUCAUCGGCUCCUAUUAACUUGGAAUAGUAGAUGGUGCUUAUCUCCACUCACUGGGGGUCAGUGAGAUCAGGCUGGUACCUUGAAAUUAAUCGUGGCAGGAUUAAUUCUAUCAGGUAAGUUGUCAGUCUUUACCAAGCAGACUUGCAGCACUCGCAAUGGAGAGUGAAUGGAUAAAUAUUUACCAACACAUCAUUGGUCAGUGUGUGUGUGUGUACGCACGCGCACGUGUGUGUCUGUCUGUCUGUCUGUGUAUCUACCUGUGUAUUGUUAGAAUGUGUUAAGGAAGAACAUAUAGACAUCGUUGGGGGACUCUACUGCUGAUUGUGAGUGGACCAUUUGGGGGACUUAGGCCCUUUUAUAUGUCCCUGGGAAAGAGGCGUGGUAAUAUUGUAUCCUUUCAUCUCAUUUUUCAAUCUCUAUGCCUAACAAAUAACCUGAGAAGCCAGAAUAUAUGAAGAAGAAUGGGGCAUCAGCAUUGGAGGAAUGUCACUGACAACCUGGGAUACGCAGAUGACACUUGCAUGCUGACAAUGAAGAAAGCUUGAAGAACUACCUGAUGAAGGUCAGAGACCACAGCCUUCAGUGUGGAUUACACUUGAACAUAAUGGAAAUGAAAAUCUUCACACUGGAAAAACAAAGUAAAUAGAGGCUUAUUUGAAGUUGUCAAGGAUUUCAUGCCCCUUGAAUCAACAGUCAACAACCAUGAAAACGGUAGUCAGGACAUCAAAGGACUUUUGCCUUAAGCAAAUCUGCUGCAAAAGAUGUCCUUACAGUUCUAAAAGUGCAAGAUGUCACUUUGAUAAGAAAGGUGCACCUGACCAAGCUAGGCUCGCCAGUCCCACCAAAAGUCUGCCCCUCAGAGCUUCGGAGCCUUUCUAGAGUCAAACAGCACCAGUAACUCAGGAGGUAGGGAAAACUCAGUGUUAGCACCUGGGCCUGGGAAAAGAGGACUGCAAGAACCCUGAGAUGACAGGACCUCAGUUAGCUGAAAAACAGCCAGAUACAGACUUGCACAGCCAGAAUCCCUCCAGCUUUGGUUGUGGGUAGGGUGAACCUUCUGAUGUGCCCCUGUGCUGAGAAGCGUGAGAUGCAGGUGAAGGUCUCAGUCACACCUGUGCAGGUAUGUGUGGCCUGGUCUAGCUUUGUUGGCUCAGAGGAGCUGACAGGUAAGGGAGAUGAGGAACUGGUCUGUUUUCCUUGAACAAUCUGGAGGAAGAUGACAGUUCCAUUCUUAUAGUAGGGCUUCCCAGCCUCACGCCUUGUUUCUUCUGUCACAGGUGGCCUCAGGAUCUGAAAUAUAGAAUGGAAUGAUUUCCUCUGGUGUGUCUGAUCAGUUGAUUGGGAUCCCCAGCUUCCCAGGCAGGCGUGUACCAGUUCAGUGGGAGUGGCAGAAGCAACGCAGUGGUUUGGGUCAGCUUCAAACACACCAGAGGAUGUCAAAUGACCAUGGUGGACCCGAGGUGACUGCACACACGCCUCCUACCUCACUUGGACCACCCAAGGACUUCUUCACCUUAAGGUAUAUGUCAUGGGAUGAAGAGAGAGUUUACCCUGAAGAAGAAAAGUGAAGCUUGCUGGACUGUGCCCUGGCUGCCAUCAAGAGCAUAAGCAGGUUCAAGGAGGCAGAGUCCUGAGCGUCAUAGUUUUGGGAGACGGGCAGGAAUCUUACUUGUGGAUGUCUCCAUUCAGAUCCCAGUUAGGAACUUCCCAACAAAUGCAGCAGCUCACAGGCACCAAAUGCCAAAACACUGAAACACCCACUGCUCUGAACAUGGGGUCUAUGCAAGUGCCCGAAGAAUCAGACUACUAAUGCCUCAGUGCUUCUUAGCCCUGUGUACCAACCCUGCCCACAUCUAGCCCUGCAUACUCCAGGCAUCCAGGUCUGCCAUAAACAUCAUCAAGUCUCCGCUUUUCCUGGGCUGUAUUGUUGUUCUGUAAGCACCACAGUCCAUCCAGCAGGAGAGGAGGAACAGAAGAAAGAGUCAAUGAGAAUUUCUGCCAACAAAACUAUCUUUAAUCUCAAUUUACAGAGCACUAUUCUUCAAAGUAAAAGUAAAGCUACUGUGCUUCAUCUCCCACCAUGGAAAUACAUGUGCACCCUGCCCAGGCUUUGGCCUCCCUCUCUGCCCUCACCGUAUCUGUAUAACAGCCAAGAAGUACCACUAGGAUAGGGGAGGAGCAUUAGCCUAAUAAGUAUGGGGGAGGAGUUGACAACCCUAAUCUAUUUAGGGGACCCCAACUUGAGGGUCUGACAUAUAGAAGAGGAGAGCUCACUACUGGCUAAGAAGAUGCUUCUUCCUUUUUCCAUGUGUGGAAGGGUCACACUUUCUUUUUAGAGGCAGUGAGGGUUGGACCUCUCCCACAGUCAAGGGUUGCCUCCCAGAGACUCCAAGGUCAGCCCCUGAGUAGGGCCGCUUUGCAGCAAGUGGUGGAGUUCUGACUUGAGCUGGGAUCUUACACUUGGCAGCUCUAUGUCCAGGUUAGCUAAGACUCACUGUCUCCGGAGAUCGGAGCUGGGAUGCUCCCCAGGUACCCCGAACUCCAUGGUGCAGAAUGCUGGAGGCAGGGAGAGGACUCUUGGAAAGACUCCAGGGCAGUAGGCUUUCUUGAGAUGCCAAGAGGAAGUCAAGGCUGGGGAGUUCCUCCUCUUCCUUUUCUUCUUCACUGCACCCUUCUCCUUUCCCAGGUGUUUCACUAAUACAAGAGGCUUCUAAGGACAUUAAGGUUCCUCUGUUUCCCAAUCUAGGGUAGGUGCGACUAGGGUGCCGUUGAGGAGAAGUUGAUUGUUCAGACUUAAGUUCCUGUGACAUGGGACUCCAUGUAAAGAGAGCAAGUUCUUUUGACGUAGACAGAUGACUGUACCUGCUGCCAUCUUUUGGCAGGUCAUCUGCAUCCAACUUUUUUGUGCUCGUUUUCUUGCUCAUCUGUAGUUGGCUGUUGUGGUUAUCUGUGCUCCCUGCAUUUUGACUGCUCCCAGACUCUGUACACGGUGACUCCCUGGUUGGCACACCGUAAGUUGGGGAUGCCUCCACACCCACGUUUCCUUUCAAUUCCAGCAUUCUUUUCUCUACCAGCUGCAAGGAAGGAAAAUGGAUAAUUACUAAUUCUGUACAGAUUGUGAGAACACAUGGCUGAGUGGGUGGUGGAGACCAUAGUAUUGGGGCAGGAUUUAGGGAAGUCAGUCACAUGAGCGUCCUUCAAUAACUAGUACUGCAGCUCUGCCUCUCCAUCCUCUUGUGUGGUUUUCCCAACCACAAUGCCUUACCACUCCACUCCUAUUCUUGGCCACUGCAUUAUCUCUUACCUCCUCAUUCUGUACCUGCUCCCACACCUGGAGCUGGCCUUCCGCAGAAGCCAUGACAGCCAAGGCACUGUCGGGUUAGAUGAAAUCCUGUGGGUUUCAUGUUAUGAUUCUCCCUUCCUCCUCUGGUUUACCUGAGUGAGAGUGAGUCUUUCCUCUUCCUCCAGCUCCUGCCUUAAGGACAGGGGAUCUACCUGUGAUUCUGGUGAUAGUAACAUUUCCAGGAAUUGAGGGUGAAUAACUGCUUCCACCUGUUAACGGAACGAGGAGGCCUGUGAAAAUCCUUGACAAGGAGUAACACUGAUUUAGAGGUUCUAGAAGACAAGGAAUAAUCUCCCUCUCGAAUUUGCAUCCAGUAUUGUAUUAAAAUAUCACCACCCCAACCUACACAUACGCAGACACUCAUACACACACACAUAUACACACAAGAAAAGGACACACACAUUGAUCAUGGAGGAAGGAACUGAGCUUAAUUACAAUGUCUGGGGUAAAACUCCAGAUGUUUGGUGGCUGGAACACCAAAAGUACAGAGCCCACAGACACCAAACCUCAGGUCCUGGCCCACCUUGGUGAUAAGUGCUUCCUGUGCACACAGCUUGUCAAUGUAGCUCAGGAGUCCCGGGUCUGGAUACAGCUCAUCCUCUUCCUGUUGUUGCUCAUUUUCUUCUUCUUCUUCAUAUUUUCCAUCUGGCUCCACAGUGGCUGAAUGGGCAGUUCCAAGGAGAUCUUCCAUGAUCUCAACAUACUCUUUGACGGCUUCGAGAGGAAUUUCAUGGGACCGCUUGGGCUCCCAAGGGUGCUCGGUUCUGUGUCGAUGUUGCUUAGGGGGCUGUGCCAUGGAACCUCCCUUCUUUGGAAUGAACACCGUGGGGGGGGGGGAAGAGCAUGUUUAUGUGGCAGCAAAUUCCGGCUCUUUCCACUUGUUACAUAUUGAAUUGUGUCCCCCAAAUGGUUGUCAACGUGGCUAGUCCAUGACGCCCAGUAUUUUGUGGUUGUCCACCAUUUGGGGACCUGAUGUGAUUAUCCUAUGUGUUGUAAAUCCUAACCUGCAUGAUGUUAAUGAAGCAGGAUUAUAGGCAGUUGUGUUAAUGAGGCAGGCCUCAGUCUACAGGAUUUGAUUGUAUCUUGAGUCAAUCGCUUUUGAAAUGGAAAACAGAGAAACAAACAGAGAGGAGAGGAACUUCAUACCACCAGGAAAGUAGUGCCCAGAGUGAAUCUAGUCCUCUGGACUCAAGGUCCCUGUGCUGGGGAGCUCCUAGACCUGGGGAAGAUUGAUGACAAGGACCUUCCUCCAGAACCAACAGAGAGUAAAAGCAUUCUCCAAGAGCUGGUACCCUGAAUUCAGACUACUACCCUCCUAGACUGUGAGAGAAUAAAUUUGUGUUUGGUAAGUCCAUCCACUGUGGUAUUUCUGUUCUAGCAACACAAGAUAACUAAGUCACCACCCAACCCCAUGUUGUAAAGGCAGAAUUAUGGGGACACUGUCAUCGUUCUUGGUAGGGCAGGCACACCUGAAGUCACAAACACUGUGAGAGGAGAAGAUGUAAGAGGCAGACACUCUAAGACAGUCAGCUUGUGGGGAAACUUGAAACUACUUCUUUUACAAGAAGUCUCACUGACACCCACAUUUAAAGCUGAUUAGAUAUUGGACCCCACUUUUGAUAAUCCAUGUGAGACUGUAGUUAUAAAACGGAACCACCUCACUACUAGCAUGUAAUGAAGAGUAGUGGAGAUCCCAGGCAUCUGGCAGUCUCUGCUAAUAGAAAUAGCCAUUGCCCCCUCUUGAAAGAUAAGUACCACAUGUGAAGACAAUGCCUUCUCCCAACAUAACCAGUCCCUACAUGCCUCCUUUGACCCCGGGCCCGUAGUUCCUGUUGACCUUGCUUAGCCAUACCUGGACACUGGGCAACCAUAGUGGAUGAAGGCCCCUGAGGAUCAACAUUGCGUGGAGCUGGAGGAGGCAGGCAGACAGACGCAUUCCUCUGCUGCAACAUCUGAAUCUCUAACUCCUCCUCUGCCUCAAACUCCAUGAACCUGACAAGGGUGAGGGAGGCACAGGCCGUGCUGAGGAGAAGGCAAGAUGCACCAGGAGCCCCAGGACCAGGCAACAGCCAAUUUUGGGGAAGUGGAGAAAAAUGUGCCUUUAGUGACCUGUCCAAGUGGCCAGUAAGUCCAUUUCCCAGGAGGAAAAAACAAGAUAUGGGUCCCUUACAUGUUCACCACAUCAUCCCUUCACGUUCAGCACAACUCAUCAUAACAUAGGAAGGUUGCGAAGGAAAUGAGCCAUGCCUUCUUGGAAGCUCCUCCUGAUGCAGCCAUAGUGCUCACUACUUUUCCAUACCCUUAGCACCUGAUAGCACACCACAACACUGACACUGGUUGGUUGAAUUGAAUCAGACCUACAUGACACACAGGAGGAACCACUCAUGCGCACCGUUCUCCAAGCCUCUCCUGCCCUUGCCUAAAACGCACAUGGUAGAGGUAAUAGCCUGAACCUUGAAUGGGAUGAAGUUGAUUGCAGAUAACACCAAGGACUAGUUCCUAGAGUCCGGGUCCUAGUCUCAAGCUUUGAGGCCUUGAGAUAUAAACCAGGCGGGCAAGAGGUCCAAGAGAGAUUUGGAAAAAGGUGGAAUGUGAGGUUUCCCAAAAGCCUCAGGCUCCUUUGAUGAUUUUUUUUUUAAACCGAGGGAGGAAAGGCAAUGAGGGACAGAAACACGUCCAACAGGGUGACUGAGAUGCUGCCUUCCCCUGAACUCACCUUUCCAGCCUGGGCCAUUCUUGGAUGGUUGUAGAACAGUUUUGUACCAGUUGUCAUGAGGAAGAGUGGCCCCAAAUUCCCUGUUAUCUAUAUGGACAUUGAGGCAAGCAGGAACCUGUCUGGUACGGCAUAUCCCCUCACUGCAGAGUGUCCACAGAUUGGACUGUAUCUCCAUGGGCAUCCACAGUGUUUAUCCCCAUUCUGUCUUAACACUCCAGUUUCAGGCCAUCCACAAAUCCAACAUGCAGAAGGGGUGAAUUUCUUAAGGAACGUAGAACAGAAAACUCCAAGCAGUGAAUGUGGUGGUAGAAGUUGUCUGAGGGUAGAGCGGGAUCAUCAGGGAACCAGGAGCCCUCUCCACGUGUACACCUCCUCCUCACACAGCCUCUGUGAUUUGUACCAACUCUCCCUCUUCAUUCACACCUCAUCACUCAGUCCCAACAGGGCCAGGAUGCCAUGGACUCACUUUUCUGCCAUCUCAUAGAAGAUGAUCCGGUCAAAAUUGCUUUUGCGCCGCCAUUCCUGUACAGACCACCAGAGUCCCUCCUCCAGGAUCAUGGUGGGCUUCAGUCUAGCCAAGGAUCGCAGGACUGGGCUAAAUACCCAUGCGUGUCAGUAACUUUCGGCAAAUACAUAUUCCAUCCCCAUCUUGACCCCAUCCCUACACACAUCCCCUGCCCAUCAUCACAUCUAUCUUGCUAUUUGUCCGUGACAGUCCCUCUUCCAGUGUUUUAGAUUUCAAAUGCUUUUGCCUCCAGGAUACCAUUAACUAUUUUGGAAUCCAGGGAAUCCCUAAGACUGCUGGAAAUUUGGGUUUAGUGGACUGUGUCUUUAUUCCUGGGUGAGUGCUGGGGAGUGGGGAAAGGAAGAACAUGCCUUCAGUCUUUCAGCCAAUGAGAGCAACAUGUAUGUGGAAAAACAUCCUGUGAAUAUGAUCAGAGUUCCAUAUUGAUUGACCUGUUGGGAAGCUCAGGGUUGAUAGAGAUGUAGGCUCUGCUCUGAAAAGACAAAGCUUCCCACAUGACUAAUCACUCUGCCUUUCAUUCACAGAAGCCCAUGACCCUGCACCUCAUUGCCAAUUUCCAUUCACACACACUGUAGCUAGGACAGUUUUGCUCUUGUGGGUACUUUUUAUGGACUGUACUUCAUAUAUUAGGUCAUAUCGUCUUCUUAGCUCUCCUCUUAAUGAACUGAAAUUGUCUCCUUAUUUGAUGAGAUACUCUAGGGUGAAGAUGUACAAUGCCCUGCUCAGGAUUACAAAUCUAAGGAGGACAGAGCCCAAGCCUUUCACCACUAUGCAUACUCUACCACCUCCCUGUUGUAACUGGAAUUCUCCAGAGGAAUGAGGGUGGGAGUAAACUUAAAGUGGUUGUCCUAGGCCUUGCCCGUUUCACGUCUCCUGAGGCAAUGGCCAAAAUACGCUCAGCUCCUAUGUUGGAAGGUAAAGACCAGUGGAACAAAGUUGUUUGUGAUCUGAGAUCAAAACUCACAUCAUGCCUCCUCACUUUACCACAGCGUUUAAAAAAACCAAACCCUUUGCCAUUGGGUAUAUCCCAACUCAUAGUGACACUACAGGACAGAGUAGAACUGCCCCAUAGAGUUUCCGAGGAGGGGUGGCGGAUUCAUACUGCUGACGAUGUGGUUAGCAGCCAUAGAACUUAACUACUAUGCUACCAGGGUUUCUACCGCGGUGUUUAGUCUCUUGUAAGGAAUUGUUAAGGUAACGAUUCCAAUAUAAAGAUUGACUUCACAUACAAGGUGGUCAGCAUCAAUUGAGACAAGAUACCUGAAUAUGUUGUACACAGGG
Molecule: long non-coding RNA, 21246 nt
Organism: Loxodonta africana (African savanna elephant)
Lineage: Eukaryota; Metazoa; Chordata; Mammalia; Proboscidea; Elephantidae
Exons: 5
Source: RefSeq, a predicted model, not a curated record